Parasteatoda tepidariorum (common house spider) is the source of this 392-nucleotide long non-coding RNA. The record is from RefSeq and is a predicted model, not a curated record. Lineage: Eukaryota; Metazoa; Arthropoda; Arachnida; Araneae; Theridiidae.
ACUUCAUAUUAUUUCUAAACUUUUUUUCUCUACAGAAAUUUUCUUAAAAAUGGGUUUAGUGAGAGAAAUGCGGAAAAUACACAAUGAAUAAACUUUUGAGAAAUUAUAUCAAUAAAAGAAAAGCAGGAUAAGAUUCAAAAUUUUACGUGAAAAUUAUAAAUAUUGAAUUUUAAACAGUUUUUGUUGUCUGACAUACUAACGAUUAAUCAAGAAGAGUAUCGUAUUUUGAAUGGAGAAUAAGGAAAAUACAUCAGGAAUUCAUAAAAUGGCUUCAAAUUGAUGCAGAGCAACGUAAAAUGAUGAAGGAUCCAUUUGACUAUGAAAGCAAAGAUUUGCAUUUGGAUAAUAGUCUCAGAGUGAUACCUGAUCAAUACAAAAAUGACGUCAAUAAG